Molecule: non-coding RNA, 1402 nt
Organism: Cinara cedri
Lineage: Eukaryota; Metazoa; Arthropoda; Insecta; Hemiptera; Aphididae
Source: the annotation of a GenBank genome assembly
UUUUUGAAUUUAAAUAGUUACAGUUUGAAAACACUAUCCAGAAAAUAUCAAAUGAUAAUUUUUUUAAAUUAAUAUAAUUUUUAUGAUUGUCUUCUAUUGUCGUGAUUUUGGAAUUUAGAAAAAAAAAUAAUCGUGUACGGAUUAUUUAGAUGUACAUACAUUUUAAUGAAAAUUAAUUUGAGAAAAUUGCAAGAGUUUAGGGAAGUCGGUAAAUUUGGGCUUGGGACAGCUGUUAUAGGGGCCGGGGCCUAUGCAUGAAGUUAUGAUAAAUGUAUAAACUGUAGCUACGGCGGGGUUGUGACACGGGACUUUUGAGAUUUAUCAAUUGUAGUAGAGCGAAUGGUAAGUGAUGAGGGCGGCCGGAAAAAUGACUGUUCAACAUAUAUGUUAUGAAGUGCUGCAUACUGUCACGGGCUGACUUUCGUGUACAGUUAUACAUUGUGACACCGAACUACUGCCAUAUGAAUCAAUAAGAAAUUUUAGAAACUUGAAGGCUACAAUCAGCAAACUCAUUGAACCUUACCACCAAGAUCGCAAUAACCUUAUUCAGGUGUAGGACCAAGGGAGGUUUUGCUCACCAUGCGGCGAAUUGGACGGCUAAACCAUGCAAGACCUCACGGAUAGUAUACGACCGUCGAACAGUAUAUAUACUUGAUAUCGUAAUGCAGUGAACACAAUCGAGAAGUAUAGAAUUAACGUUCUGUACAUAAUCCACAGAAUCUCGACACCAAAAACUUAGAUGCCAUUGAAUAAAAACGGAUCUGGUUUCAUAGCCACCACUAUAUCGACCUGCGGAACAAGCAGUCAACUUUUAUGUGUUAACUAUUUGUGUGUUUAUCAUUAAACAAAUUUUACCUACGGAGUAAGAUAUAUUAGUCCGUAAUUUUACCCAUCUGAUUUCCAUAGAUAAUAAAAGUGUAGUUUACAUUGAGCGUACUAAGCUUUGAUAAGUGUCAAAUUUGGUCUGCUACGCUACAAGGUUUAUAGAUAAUAUAGGUAUUAUCUAUAAAUCUUCGAUACGCUUUGCUAGAGCGUAUCAACAUAGUCUAAUACAUUUCUGUUUACAGCAAAGACUUGAUACGUAUUAAAUGGUUGGUACGCGUAUCAAGUCGACUGUGUAAACUAAGCCACAGUAAUUAUUAAUUAUCUAUGCUGAUUUUCUGAGGUUUUUGUCAAGUUCAUUUUUAAUAAUAAAAUAACAUCCUUUAAGAUGGCUGGAGCAGGUCGAAUAAAACACUUAUAAAGUGCUGCGUUAUUUUCGAACAAAUAAUUAUUGGCAUGUGCCUGCAAGCUCGAGUGGCGUUCGGCGGUGACAGCUAGAAGUGCCCGGCUCAAGGUCGUCAACAAUAUACCGAUAAGAAAACCAAUUGUAAUAUUGUAACAAAAUGUAAAAUAAUCACCU